Non-coding RNA from Pelodiscus sinensis (Chinese soft-shelled turtle), 1548 nucleotides. NCBI's taxonomy places the organism in Eukaryota, Metazoa, Chordata, Testudines, Trionychidae. The record is from RefSeq and is a predicted model, not a curated record.
UUCACCACAAGUACUCAAGUUUCUUAGACAUGCUUCCGCUCAUUUGCAGAUAUACUCAAUGUCUGUCCAUGCAUUUAUGCAAUGCUCAGUGGCUCACAUGAAUUAAGAGUUAAAUACCCACUGUCUUAACUUUUCAUAGAGCAAGCUAACUUGGGUCGUUUGAUAUGGAAGAACAUUUAGGCGGCUACCUGUGCUUCACCAGCAACAAUGAACUUGAACUAGACUGUGCAGUAUAAAAGAACUGUGACUGCAGCUCCAGCCACAAGACAAGCUCCUACAAAACCAGAUAAUAAACCUGGAUCCCAAGGACCGCACCGACGCAAGGCAUUAUUAUCCCGCAGUAGACGCAUCAUAAUUUCAACAGACAACGUUGCCAUGAAAAUGCUUGUCUUGUUUAUGUUGGUUUUAGCUUCUUAGGAAUAACUACCUGUAUUAUUAAUAAGAUGUUUAAUUGGCAAUGGGUGAAGAUGCUGUGUAUCCUUCAUAGUUUAUUGGCUUAUGUGCUCAUUACAUCUUGCCGCCAGACCUUAUCAAAUUGCUUCCACUCCGCCCAUCUGCUGCCUAUAUAAUCUACUGUAAUGUUUUGAUUAACUAGUGCUCUCCAGGUUAACCCCUGAGGGACACUCCACCAGCUGGUGUACAAUAAAUCCUCAGCUUGUUUUCACCUGCAUCCAGAGUGUCCAGAAUUAUUCCCUACAAAGACAUACCAAAGUUCUGCUAUGCUAGCCAACCUUCAGCCAGCCUCAAAAGCAAGUGACGUUGUUUGUGGAGAAGGCAUGAGUAGGAAAGCCAAGCAAUGUGCUGAUUCAAUGCAUCCCUCAGACAACCUCCGCAGGCAGGAUUCUUAUGGAGCCAGAGAUGUCUUGAAAAUCUUCCCUCCUUGUGGGAAUUCAGCAUUGAAAAUAGCCACCGCCUUCUCUCCGCUCCUGUGGGGUCAAUAGUACUUGAGCACUACUGCCUCUGCAUAGCUGCAGAUAUGAAUUAAGCCUAGAACAGAUCCUGUAGAUCCUUUUCCAUACAUUAAAAAAGAGAAUAUUGCCCAUGGACAAAACUGUUCAUAAAGAGAGUGAAAAAAAGUCUUCCUGAUGACCAAGACAGCUUUUCCUGGAGAGUACAUUCAAACUGUGUAAUUGGGAAACUGUUUCAAUGCAUACGUGGCCAGUUUAAUCUCAAAGAUAAAUUCAUGCAAUAUAUUAAUACUGUACUAUAGAAAUGCCUAGGUUUUGUCAUAUGACUAGGAGCAAAGAGUGCAAAAUUAACAGCAUUACCACUACUAGGGAAGCAAGACGAACUUCAGCUAGUCACAUGACAGACCUUCCAGGAAGGAUGUCAAAAUGAAGUAAUAAAAGCCUAAUACGUGCGAAGCUUGUGUGAUUUUUUUUACAAGGAAAUCUGGCUUUCCUCACAAUACAACUGUCAAAGACUCUUAAGAUUACCACAAGGGAAGAAAUAAUCAGCCUGAAAAUUUCACUGCUCAUGAUUUAAUAUUUGGAGCUGAAUAAAAUCCAUACAGUCACUAAACUUUUAUCCUUUCAGCCUGUCUCACAA